GGGAUGUGAAGAGUCAUAGCACUGGGCACUGAAUUUUUUAAUUUUAAAUUUGAAUGAGUGACACUGCUUUUUAUGGUGGGCCUCAGAAACCCUCCGUGACUGAUCCC
Saccharomycodes ludwigii is the source of this 107-nucleotide small nucleolar RNA. The record is from RefSeq and is a predicted model, not a curated record. NCBI's taxonomy places the organism in Eukaryota, Fungi, Ascomycota, Saccharomycetes, Saccharomycodales, Saccharomycodaceae.